RNAcentral lists this ribosomal RNA (774 nucleotides) under uncultured Neocallimastigales. Its description in RNAcentral is "partial large subunit ribosomal RNA". It matches the Rfam family "Eukaryotic large subunit ribosomal RNA", at positions 23 to 648 of the family's 3401-position model. Lineage: Eukaryota; Fungi; Neocallimastigomycota; Neocallimastigomycetes; Neocallimastigales. The record is from RNAcentral.
AGAGAUGUGUGAUGACGCAUAUCAAUAAGCGGAGGAAAAGAAACUAACAAGGAUUCCCUUAGUAACGGCGAGUGAAGCGGGAGGAGCUCAAAUUUGAAAUCUUCAAGGUUCUACCUUGACGAAUUGUAGUUUAUAGAAGUGUUUUCUGUUAGUGGAGUGGCAAAAGUUCUUUGGAAUAGGACAUCAUAGAGGGUGAGAAUCCCGUAUUUGGUCAUUCCUCCUAGCGUUGUGAUACACUUUCAACGAGUCGGAUUGUUUGGGAAUGCAGUCCAAAAUGGGUGGUAAAUUUCAUCUAAAGCUAAAUAUUGGCGAGAGACCGAUAGCGAACAAGUACCGUGAGGGAAAGAUGAAAAGAACUUUGAAAAGAGAGUUAAACAGUACGUGAAAUUGUCAAAAGGGAAGCGUUUGACACCAGUGUUGUUUUUCCGAAAAUCAAUUACGAAUGUUUUAUUUUUGAGAAGUUAUGACUUCAUCGGCUUGCUUCUCUCUUUAUGAAACUUUCUUAAUGCACUUUUCGGUUAACAAGUCAACAUCAAUUUCUUUUGUUGUAAAAGGGUAUGAGGAAGGUGGCUUUCUUUUCGGAGAAAGUGUUUAUAGCCUUGUACUUCUGCAAUCGGAGAGAUUGAGGUCUGCAGCGUAGAUCCUUCGGGGUUAGAUACACUUGUGCUAAGUUAUAGCUUUUCAUAGACAACUUGUUGAUUAUGUUAAGUCUUGUAGCUUACUCGCUUGUGCUAUUUUACCUACGCUUAGGAUGUUGACGAUCAGCUGAGCGCG